UCGUUUUGGGAGCUAGGGAAAACUGGGUUUUGGCUAUUGGUGUUGUUGGAUUUGGCCCAUUAAGUGCAGAUAAUGAGUCCUUGGGACUUGAAGAGCAGGAACAAGAUGAAUCUGAGUUAUUGGGUGUUCAUCUGAGGAGAAAACAGGGAAGGGUAGGAGACUUGGAAAGGGAGGAUUUCAAACAUCUGCUCUUCUUUUCAAGUCAUUCUUUUGCAUAUACCAACAGAGAAUAAUAUGAUAGAGGUAUACCAAAAACUUAUUACUACCCAUACUCAUGGACAACGGUUAGUAUCUUCCCACUUUCGUUAGGCCUCUGUUUUAUUGAUCUUCAUUUUGUUACAAAAUUGAUAUCUGUAGCAAUUUUCCAGACUGCAAGCAUAUUAUUGUUUAUAGAUGCACCUGUUGCCACUGGUUUCUUCUAUGCAAUUGAUGCAAAAGAAUAUGCUACCACCGAUACAGAAAGAACAUCACAGGAGAGGCUGACAUUUGGUCCAUGUCCAUGUAGUUCUUCCUUUCCUUCAUGGACUUUUGUUCGACGCCAAGUUGUUGAAUGAUGCAAUUGAACUCUUGGAAUAUGUUGUUGUGAUGAGGGAAGAAAAGCUAGGGACAGCUAACCCUGAGGUGGAUGAUGAGAAAAGAAGGUUGGCUGACUUAUUGAAAGCAACAGGCAGACUUCGGAACAGAAAAGCCAGAUCACUAGAGAACCUCCUUGAGGCCAACUCUCAUGGUAUAAACAAUGAUCGAAUUAAGGUAUGAUAAGAAUGGCUAUCUGUUCAGGAACGAAAUUUAGCUGGCUGCCUUGAAUGGAUCGGUUCUCGACAGUAGCAAAUAGAAGCAUUGAUGAAAUCAAAUUCACUUGGAAUAGAAUACUCAAAGCAGAAGCUACAAGCUAAGCCAACAAACACUGCAAAUAUUACUGAGUUUUCAGUUGGGAUUAUUGGAAUUUGAUACUCGAAAGCCUCGGUAUGCACCGCGCUGAAAAUGGCACAACCAGGUUUUUGUUAAGUGUAAUUCCAAAUUUCACAAAGUGAAGACAUAGGAACAAUGAAGUUCAAGUUGCUGGUGAGCUUAAACUCAAGGGUUGUAGCUUGAAUCCUUUUUCAUUUGAAGAAACCCAACAUGUUGAUUUACUUCUUAUUUCUUGAUAACAACACAUUAUACACUUUAUCGCCAAUAUAUU
Molecule: long non-coding RNA, 1180 nt
Organism: Rosa rugosa (rugosa rose)
Lineage: Eukaryota; Viridiplantae; Streptophyta; Magnoliopsida; Rosales; Rosaceae
Exons: 7
Source: RefSeq, a predicted model, not a curated record